GGGUUGUGAGGUUAAGCGACUAAGCGUACACGGUGGAUGCCCUGGCAGUCAGAGGCGAUGAAGGACGUGCUAAUCUGCGAUAAGCGCCGGUAAGGUGAUAUGAACCGUUAUAACCGGCGAUUUCCGAAUGGGGAAACCCAGUGUGAUUCGUCACACUAUCAUUAACUGAAUCCAUAGGUUAAUGAGGCGAACCGGGGGAACUGAAACAUCUAAGUACCCCGAGGAAAAGAAAUCAACCGAGAUUCCCCCAGUAGCGGCGAGCGAACGGGGAGGAGCCCAGAGCCUGAAUCAGCAUGUGUGUUAGUGGAAGCGUCUGGAAAGGCGCGCGAUACAGGGUGACAGCCCCGUACACAAAAGCGCAUGUGCUGUGAGCUCGAUGAGUAGGGCGGGACACGUGGUAUCCUGUCUGAAUAUGGGGGGACCAUCCUCCAAGGCUAAAUACUCCUGACUGACCGAUAGUGAACCAGUACCGUGAGGGAAAGGCGAAAAGAACCCCGGCGAGGGGAGUGAAAAAGAACCUGAAACCGUGUACGUACAAGCAGUGGGAGCCCCACCACUAAGCCAGUGGUGAACUCCACAUCCGCAUCCUUUGCUGAGGAUACGGUUAACGGAGCGAAAGCGACGUUCAACCGCAAAACAAGCAGA
Molecule: ribosomal RNA, 645 nt
Filed under: Salmonella enterica subsp. enterica serovar Typhimurium
Lineage: Bacteria; Pseudomonadati; Pseudomonadota; Gammaproteobacteria; Enterobacterales; Enterobacteriaceae
Description: partial 23S ribosomal RNA
Rfam family: Bacterial large subunit ribosomal RNA
Source: RNAcentral